Molecule: unclassified non-coding RNA, 292 nt
Filed under: Onthophagus taurus
Lineage: Eukaryota; Metazoa; Arthropoda; Insecta; Coleoptera; Scarabaeidae
Description: uncharacterized LOC111422715, transcript variant X1
Source: RNAcentral
GAAAUUUCGUCCUUCGGGAACAGGAUGGAGGAUUGGACUCGAACUCAGACUUAGGUUAGAAAAUUUAAGGUUAAUUUGACGUAAAUUCGACAACGCUUGGUCCUAGCCAAAUUUGAACUCUCCCCGGCGUCAAUUUGCGCGGCCUUAUAUACCCUUUUUGGACACAGCCUUCUUGGAUAUCCGAAUUUGAUCCUCUCAGUUUGACUCUGAGCUCUCUGAUUGGUUGAUUAAGUGGCGGGAAUUAUAAAUUACACAGAUUGAGUCGGAAACUUCCUCAAUAAGGCUAGAAUUA